RNAcentral lists this ribosomal RNA (776 nucleotides) under uncultured Neocallimastigales. RNAcentral describes it as "partial large subunit ribosomal RNA". It matches the Rfam family "Eukaryotic large subunit ribosomal RNA", at positions 24 to 627 of the family's 3401-position model. The record is from RNAcentral. Lineage: Eukaryota; Fungi; Neocallimastigomycota; Neocallimastigomycetes; Neocallimastigales.
UAUCUCUGUAGAGUCUGCAUAUCAAUAAGCGGAGGAAAAGAAACUAACUAGGAUUCCCUCUAGUAACGGCGAGUGAAGCGGGAAGAGCUCAAAUUUGAAAUCUUCAAGGUUCUACCUUGACGAAUUGUAGUUUAAAGAAGUGUUUUCUGUUGGUAGUUUUGGUAAAAGUUCUUUGGAAUAGGACAUCAUAGAGGGUGAGAAUCCCGUAUUUGACCAUUACUUCCAGCUUUGUGAUACACUUUCAAAGAGUCGGAUUGUUUGGGAAUGCAGUCCAAAAUGGGUGGUAAAUUUCAUCUAAAGCUAAAUACUGGCGAGAGACCGAUAGCGAACAAGUACCGUGAGGGAAAGAUGAAAAGAACUUUGAAAAGAGAGUUAAACAGUACGUGAAAUUGUCAAAAGGGAAGCGUUUGACACCAGUGUUGUUUUCUCGAAAAUCAAUUAAAAAAGGCAGGAUUUUGUGUUGUAUUGACUUUAUCAGCUUUCUGCACUCUUUUCUUGUCUUUUUUAAUGCACUUUUCGUUUAACAAGUCAACAUCAAUUUCUUUUGUUGUAAAAGGGUCAUUGGAAGGUGGCUUUCUUUUCGGAGAAAGUGUUUAUAGCCUUUGGCCUCUGCAAUCGGAGAGAUUGAGGUCUGCAGCGCAGAUCCUUCGGGGUUAGAUACAUUUGUGCUAAGUUAUAGCCUUUCAUAGACAACUUGUUGACUAUGAUCAGUCAUGUAGCUUACUCGCUUGUGCUAUUUUACCUACGCUUAGGAUGUUGACGAUCAGCUGAGCGCG